GAUCACUCAUAGAAAAAUGGCCUCAUUUUUUCCCUUAGAAAAUACGUAGCCAUUGUCUCCUUGGAGCAACGCCAGCGCUACAAGGACGACUUCAAUGCAGAGUAUGAGGAAUACCGGAAUUUACAUUCUCAGAUUGACAAAACCAUGAAGAAGUUCAGACAGUUUCAGGAGCAAUGGAAGUCUCUGGCUCCAGGCUCUGAAUCCUAUCAGGCACUGCAUCAUCGAAUCCUAGCAGAUUAUCAGCAGUUACAACAGGGUAGCCCCAGCUACUCUGAAAUGAAGAGCAGGUGCCUGUACCUCCACAAAAAGCUGGCCCAUAUUCAGAGCCGCAUUUCUGAAUUUGACCAGCUGUAAGUGGAGUACUGGCACCAGACAACUGCUUCAGCCUUGUGAAAUCUGCGAACCCUGGAUUUUUAUUUCAACCCUAGAUUUUUUAUUUAUUAGAGGAUUAGUUUUUAGGAUUAUUUAAGUUAGUAUUGAACAGUAAUUUAUUUUAGCACUGAGCUGUAGAAUAUUUCUUAUACGUGUAGGAUUAGUUCAAAGAAGUUUAGUAAGUUUAAGAAGUUGAAAGAUGAU
This 576-nucleotide long non-coding RNA is filed under the name Zonotrichia albicollis (white-throated sparrow). RNAcentral's name for it is "lncRNA (ENSZALG00000011405.1)". The record is from RNAcentral. Lineage: Eukaryota; Metazoa; Chordata; Aves; Passeriformes; Passerellidae.